GCUUUUGAACGAAGAAGUCCCUGCGCGUAACACCAGGGCCCAGUGGCAAGCCCGAUGGAGGAAUGAGCGCUACUAUUCGCAGCAGGGUCUUGCCAAACUCCGAGGGCAGCAGAGCAGCACCCGAGGCGGCCAGAUUUCGGAUUACCGUGGCCGCGUCGUGCUUGACAGGGACGAGUGUGCGAGGCCCAUAGUUCGGGUGGUCUGAAUCGGUGAGCCCUGCUCCAGCUGCUACUGGUGUGGCUGAAGAGGAUGUGGCCCAGGAUCUUUCCC
Rhipicephalus sanguineus (brown dog tick) is the source of this 270-nucleotide long non-coding RNA. RefSeq lists it as uncharacterized. The record is from RefSeq and is a predicted model, not a curated record. The transcript has 3 exons. NCBI's taxonomy places the organism in Eukaryota, Metazoa, Arthropoda, Arachnida, Ixodida, Ixodidae.